Molecule: microRNA precursor, 122 nt
Filed under: Arabidopsis thaliana (thale cress)
Lineage: Eukaryota; Viridiplantae; Streptophyta; Magnoliopsida; Brassicales; Brassicaceae
Description: microRNA MIR405
Rfam family: MIR405 microRNA precursor family
Source: RNAcentral
UUAACCCAUUUAACAACUCAACCCAUCAAAUUAAAUGAGUUAUGGGUUGACCCAACCUAUUUAACAAAAUGAGUUGAGUCAACCCAUAACUCAUUUAACCCUAAACUCAUUUGAUUAUGAGU